RNAcentral lists this ribosomal RNA (448 nucleotides) under uncultured bacterium. RNAcentral's name for it is "bacterial SSU rRNA". It matches the Rfam family "Bacterial small subunit ribosomal RNA", at positions 355 to 825 of the family's 1533-position model. The record is from RNAcentral.
UGGGGAAUAUUGGACAAUGGGCGAAAGCCUGAUCCAGCCAUGCCGCGUGAGUGAUGAAGGCCUUAGGGUUGUAAUGCUCUUUUUGGCGGGGACGAUAAUGACGGUACCCGCAGAAUAAGCCCCGGCUAACUUCGUGCCAGCAGCCGCGGUAAUACGAAGGGGGCUAGCGUUGUUCGGAAUUACUGGGCGUAAAGCGCACGUAGGCGGAUCAGCAAGUCAGGGGUGAAAUCCCGGGGCUCAACCUCGGAACUGCCUCUGAUACUGCUAGUCUAGAGUCCGGAAGAGGUGGGUGGAAUUCCUAGUGUAGAGGUGAAAUUCGCAGAUAUUAGGAAGAACACCGGUGGCGAAGGCGGCCCACUGGUCCGGUACUGACGCUGAGGUGCGAAAGCGUGGGGAGCAAACAGGAUUAGAUACCCAAGUAGUCCCUGAGCGGGCUGGCAAGGCGCAU